UACAGAGGAUGCAAGCGUUAUCCGGAAUGAUUGGGCGUAAAGCGUCUGUAGGUGGCUUGUUAAGUCCGCCGUCAAAUCCCAGGGCUCAACUCUGGACAGGCGGUGGAAACGUCCAAGCUGGAGUGCGGUAGGGGCAGAGGGAAUUUCCGGUGGAGCGGUGAAAUGCGUAGAGAUCGGAAAGAACACCAACGGCGAAAGCACUCUGCUGGGCCGACACUGACACUGAGAGACGAAAGCUAGGGGAGCGAAUGGG
RNAcentral lists this ribosomal RNA (253 nucleotides) under uncultured bacterium. Its description in RNAcentral is "partial 16S ribosomal RNA". It matches the Rfam family "Bacterial small subunit ribosomal RNA", at positions 524 to 776 of the family's 1533-position model. The record is from RNAcentral.